Colletotrichum fioriniae is the source of this 94-nucleotide non-coding RNA. The record is from the annotation of a RefSeq genome assembly. NCBI's taxonomy places the organism in Eukaryota, Fungi, Ascomycota, Sordariomycetes, Glomerellales, Glomerellaceae.
ACCGUAGGUGGCCUAGCUGGUGCAUGGCGCUCGCUCGUCACCACACGAUGUUGAGAGAUCCCGGGUUCGAUUCCCGGCGAAGCUCACCUCGGAG